AGAAAAGCUCACCGCAUCAGCUGGUUGCCCAGGCCAGGACCUGAAGGGUUGUGUGGAGUCUGGAAAUAUUGUGGACCCAAGAACCUUGACCUCUCGGUGCCUGCGACGGGCUGACUGCUGGGAAUGAAGCAGGAUCAAUGAUGGGAUAAAAAUCAAGGGGCCUUGGUGUACCUUGUUGUAGUGUUUGAAAACAUCUGAGGCUGCAUCCAUCUCCAGCACCCCAUAAAGCAACAGCUUGCAGAACCCGGCUAGGAGGCGGCGCCGCUGGUGUAGCCGCUCUAUCUGUAAAUGAUCCUCCUGGGAAUCACCUGGCUCACAUGGAAGGCAAAAGGGAAUCACAGACUUAAGCUUCCUGCCCUAUAUUUCUGAGCUACACCCAAGCCCCAGCCCUUACUGAGCCCCAGGUAUAGAGUCACUGCACCACUGCCCAGGUCUCCCGGCUGGAUGAAGACGUGGUCCAUGAGGAAGCUGGCUAGCUCAGACUGGAGAGUAGCUUCAGGAAAAAAGACAAGUGGCCUAAGGAAAUCACGGCCCCCAACAAUCAUCUGA
This is a long non-coding RNA of Homo sapiens (human), 549 nucleotides long. Ensembl annotates it as CASTOR family member 3, pseudogene. Its record names the gene CASTOR3P. The record is from Ensembl. Lineage: Eukaryota; Metazoa; Chordata; Mammalia; Primates; Hominidae.